RNAcentral lists this transfer RNA (72 nucleotides) under Dentipellis sp. KUC8613. It matches the Rfam family "tRNA". From Rfam's summary of the family: Transfer RNA (tRNA) molecules are approximately 80 nucleotides in length. Their secondary structure includes four short double-helical elements and three loops (D, anti-codon, and T loops). The record is from Rfam by way of RNAcentral. Lineage: Eukaryota; Fungi; Basidiomycota; Agaricomycetes; Russulales; Hericiaceae.
GGGCACUUAGCUCAGUGGUAGAGCGCGCGCUUUGCAUGCGCGAGGCCGGGAGUUCAAUCCUCCCAGUGUCCA